RNAcentral lists this ribosomal RNA (253 nucleotides) under uncultured bacterium. RNAcentral's name for it is "partial 16S ribosomal RNA". It matches the Rfam family "Bacterial small subunit ribosomal RNA", at positions 524 to 776 of the family's 1533-position model. The record is from RNAcentral.
UACGUAGGGGGCUAGCGUUGUCCGGAAUCAUUGGGCGUAAAGAGCGUGUAGGCGGCCCGGUAAGUCCGCUGUGAAAGUCGGGGGCUCAACCCUCGAAUGCCGGUGGAUACUGUCGGGCUAGAGUGCGGAAGAGGCGAGUGGAAUUCCCGGGGUAGCGGUGAAAUGCGCAGAUAUCGGGAGGAACACCAAUGGCGAAGGCAGCUCGCUGGGACGGUACUGACGCUGAGGCGCGAAAGCGUGGGGAGCAAACAGG